GUGUCAGCCGCCGCGGUAAUACGGGGGGAGCCAGCGUUGUUCGGAAAUACUGGGCGUAAAGCGCACGUAGGCGGCUUUUCAAGUCAGGGGUGAAAUCCCGGGGCUCAACCCCGGAACUGCCCUUGAAACUGAAUCGCUAGAAUACUGGAGAGGCAAGUGGAAUUCCGAGUGUAGAGGUGAAAUUCGUAGAUAUCGGGAGGAAUACCGGUGGCGAAGGCGACCUUCUGGACGGAUACUGACGCUGAGGCGCGAAAGCGUGGGGAGCAAACAGGAUUAGAUACCCUGGUAGUCCACAGCCGUAAACGAUGUGCACUAGAUGUAGGGAGGUGUUGACCCUCUCUGUGUCGGAGCUAACGCAUUAAGUGCACCGCCUGGGGAGUACGGCCGCAAGGUUAAAACUCAAAGGAAUUGACGGGG
This 417-nucleotide ribosomal RNA is filed under the name uncultured prokaryote. RNAcentral describes it as "bacterial SSU rRNA". It matches the Rfam family "Bacterial small subunit ribosomal RNA", at positions 505 to 918 of the family's 1533-position model. The record is from RNAcentral.